This 22-nucleotide microRNA is filed under the name Eptatretus burgeri (inshore hagfish). RNAcentral's name for it is "Ebu-Mir-92-P1e_3p (mature (guide))". RNAcentral also lists the same sequence under 2 other names. The record is from RNAcentral. Lineage: Eukaryota; Metazoa; Chordata; Myxini; Myxiniformes; Myxinidae.
UAUUGCACUUGUCCCGGCCUCU